Molecule: ribosomal RNA, 253 nt
Filed under: uncultured bacterium
Lineage: Bacteria
Description: partial 16S ribosomal RNA
Rfam family: Bacterial small subunit ribosomal RNA
Source: RNAcentral
UACAGAGGUCUCAAGCGUUGUUCGGAUUCAUUGGGCGUAAAGGGUGCGUAGGUGGCGCGCUAAGUCAGGUGUGAAAUUUCGGAGCUUAACUCCGAAACUGCAUUUGAUACUGGCGUGCUUGAGGACUGGAGAGGAGACUGGAAUUCAUGGUGUAGCAGUGAAAUGCGUAGAGAUCAUGAGGAAGACCAGUGGCGAAGGCGGGUCUCUGGACAGUUCCUGACACCGAGGCACGAAAGCUAGGGGAGCAAACAGG